Non-coding RNA from Danio rerio (zebrafish), 109 nucleotides. Lineage: Eukaryota; Metazoa; Chordata; Actinopteri; Cypriniformes; Danionidae. The record is from Rfam.
GCCACAGCCAUAUCACCCUGCAGCGGGAAGCUCACUGAAGCUAAGCAGGGCUGAACCUGGUCGGUAUCUGGAUGGGAGACGACAUGGGAACACUAGGCUGCUGUUGGCA